AAAACUUUCAACAACGGAUCUCUUGGUUCCCGCAUCGAUGAAGAACGCAGCGAAAUGCGAAAAGUAAUGUGAAUGCAGAAUUCCGUGAAUCAUCGAAUCUUUGAACGCACAUUGCGCCCUUUGGUAUUCCGAAGGGCAUGCCUGUUCGAGCGUCAUUG
This 158-nucleotide ribosomal RNA is filed under the name Rinodinella controversa. RNAcentral's name for it is "5.8S ribosomal RNA". It matches the Rfam family "5.8S ribosomal RNA". Rfam says of the family: 5.8S ribosomal RNA (5.8S rRNA) is a component of the large subunit of the eukaryotic ribosome. It is transcribed by RNA polymerase I as part of the 45S precursor that also contains 18S and 28S rRNA. Lineage: Eukaryota; Fungi; Ascomycota; Lecanoromycetes; Caliciales; Physciaceae. RNAcentral also lists the same sequence under 1 other name. The record is from RNAcentral.